UUUGAUAAGCCGACAUGGGACA
Molecule: microRNA, 22 nt
Filed under: Oryctolagus cuniculus (rabbit)
Lineage: Eukaryota; Metazoa; Chordata; Mammalia; Lagomorpha; Leporidae
Description: ocu-miR-599-5p
Gene: ocu-miR-599-5p
Source: miRBase by way of RNAcentral